UACGGAGGGGGCUAGCGUUGUUCGGAAUUACUGGGCGUAAAGGGCGCGUAGGCGGCUCAUCAAGUCAGGCGUGAAAGGCCUGGGCUCAACCCGGGAACUGCGCUUGAUACUGAAGGGCUUGAGUCCGGGAGAGGAUGGCGGAAUUCCCAGUGUAGAGGUGAAAUUCGUAGAUAUUGGGAAGAACACCGGUGGCGAAGGCGGCCAUCUGGACCGGCACUGACGCUGAGGCGCGAAAGCGUGGGGAGCAAACAGG
RNAcentral lists this ribosomal RNA (253 nucleotides) under uncultured bacterium. RNAcentral describes it as "partial 16S ribosomal RNA". It matches the Rfam family "Bacterial small subunit ribosomal RNA", at positions 524 to 776 of the family's 1533-position model. The record is from RNAcentral.